RNAcentral lists this non-coding RNA (21 nucleotides) under Caenorhabditis elegans. The record is from RNAcentral. Lineage: Eukaryota; Metazoa; Nematoda; Chromadorea; Rhabditida; Rhabditidae.
UUCUUUACAGUUCAAAGUUCG